RNAcentral lists this long non-coding RNA (335 nucleotides) under Populus trichocarpa (black cottonwood). RNAcentral's name for it is "long non-coding RNA (PTRI_LNC003063)". The record is from RNAcentral. Lineage: Eukaryota; Viridiplantae; Streptophyta; Magnoliopsida; Malpighiales; Salicaceae.
UUGUUUGGUAAAGAGACUGUUUUUUUUUCCACUAGGGGAAGUGGUGGAUUUGUUAUGUGUUUGUAUGAGGGAGAGGAAAGUUUGUUGUGUUUAGUGGUGGAGACUAUUAGGAAGACAAUAAGGGUUUUUUUUUGCAACAGAAGAGGAUUUUAUUUUUUCAAUUUUUUUUGUAUUUCUCCCUAUUUUUCAAUGGUAUUUCUCUCUUUCUUUUUUUUCUCUUCUUGGUUUUUAUUUUUACUUUUCUAGUGUGUUUUUAUGGUCUUUCUUAUGUGUGUUUUUGUUGUUUGACUCUUUUUUCUAAGCUCUAAUUAGGAGAACAUUCUUAAAGUAGAAAA